Molecule: ribosomal RNA, 409 nt
Filed under: uncultured bacterium
Lineage: Bacteria
Description: bacterial SSU rRNA
Rfam family: Bacterial small subunit ribosomal RNA
Source: RNAcentral
UUAUCCGGAUUUAUUGGGUUUAAAGGGUGCGUAGGCGGUUUGAUAAGUUAGAGGUGAAAUUUCGGGGCUCAACCCUGGAACUGCCUCUAAUACUGUUGAGCUAGAGAGUAGUUGCGGUAGGCGGAAUGUAUGGUGUAGCGGUGAAAUGCUUAGAGAUCAUACAGAAUACCGAUUGCGAAGGCAGCUUACCAAACUAUAUCUGACGUUGAGGCACGAAAGCGUGGGGAGCAAACAGGAUUAGAUACCCUGGUAGUCCACGCAGUAAACGAUGAUAACUCGUUGUCGGCGAUACACAGUCGGUGACUAAGCGAAAGCGAUAAGUUAUCCACCUGGGGAGUACGUUCGCAAGAAUGAAACUCAAAGGAAUUGACGGGGGCCCGCACAAGCGGAGGAACAUGUGGUUUAAUUC